UGAGGAAUAUUGGUCAAUGGGCGCAAGCCUGAACCAGCCAUCCCGCGUGCAGGAAGACGGCCCUAUGGGUUGUAAACUGCUUUUCCAGGGGGGAGAAUUUUUCUGUCGUGACAGGAAUUGACGGUACCCUGGGAAUAAGCAUCGGCUAACUCCGUGCCAGCAGCCGCGGUAAUACGGAGGAUGCGAGCGUUAUCCGGAUUAUUGGGUUUAAAGGGUGCGUAGGCGGAUUGAUAAGUCAGUGGUGAAAACCUGCAGCUUAACUGUAGACUUGCCGUUGAUACUGUCAGUCUUGAGUGUGGUCAAGGUAGGCGGAAUGUGUAAUGUAGCGGUGAAAUGCUUAGAUUUUACACAGAACACCGAUUGCGAAGGCAGCUUACUGGGCCAUUACUGACGCUGAUGCACGAAAGCGUGGGGAUCGAACAG
RNAcentral lists this ribosomal RNA (423 nucleotides) under uncultured bacterium. RNAcentral's name for it is "bacterial SSU rRNA". It matches the Rfam family "Bacterial small subunit ribosomal RNA", at positions 355 to 775 of the family's 1533-position model. The record is from RNAcentral.